CAGUCGAACGAAGCACUUAAGACAGAUCUUUUCGGAGUGAAGACUUUUGUGACUGAGUGGCGGACGGGUGAGUAACGCGUGGGUAACCUGCCUCAUAGAGGGGGACAACAGUUGGAAACGACUGCUAAUACCGCAUAGUAAGAAGGAUUCGCAUGUUUUCUUCUUGAAAGCUUUUGCGCUAUGAGAUGGACCCGCGUCUGAUUAGCUAGUUGGUAAGGUAACGGCUUACCAAGGCGACGAUCAGUAGCCGGCUUGAGAGAGUGAACGGCCACAUUGGGACUGAGACACGGCCCAAACUCCUACGGGAGGCAGCAGUGGGGAAUAUUGCACAAUGGGGGAAACCCUGAUGCAGCGACGCCGCGUGAGCGAAGAAGUAUUUCGGUAUGUAAAGCUCUAUCAGCAGGGAAGAAGAAAUGACGGUACCUGACUAAGAAGCACCGGCUAACUACGUGCCAGCAGCCGCGGUAAAACGUAGGGUGCAAGCGUUGUCCGGAAUUACUGGGUGUAAAGGGAGCGCAGGCGGGAAGACAAGUUGGAAGUGAAAACCAUGGGCUCAACCCAUGAAUUGCUUUCAAAACUGUUUUUCUUGAGUAGUGCAGAGGUAGAUGGAAUUCCCGGUGUAGCGGUGGAAUGCGUAGAUAUCGGGAGGAACACCAGUGGCGAAGGCGGUCUACUGGGCACCAACUGACGCUGAGGCUCGAAAGCAUGGGUAGCAAACAGGAUUAGAUACCCUGGUAGUCCAUGCCGUAAACGAUGAUUACUA
Molecule: ribosomal RNA, 763 nt
Filed under: uncultured bacterium
Lineage: Bacteria
Description: bacterial SSU rRNA
Rfam family: Bacterial small subunit ribosomal RNA
Source: RNAcentral